AUCUUGGACCAUGGGCGCAAUCCUGUCCCAGCCCUGCCGCGUGAGCGAAGAAGGCCCUCGGGUUGUAAAGCUCUUUCGGACGGACUGAAAUGGCGCAGGCUAAUACCCCUCUCGGUUGACGGUACCGUCAUUAGAACCACCGGCCAUCUACGUUCCACCCACCGCGGUAAUCCGCAGGGUGCGAGCGUUAAUAGGAAUUACUGGGCGUAAAGCGUGCGCAGGUGGUUGAUUAAGACAGGCGUGAAAGACCCGGGAUUAACCUGGGAACUGAGCUUGUGACUGGUCAGCUAGAGUACGGCAGAGGGGGGUGGAAUUCCACGUGUAGCAGUGAAAUGCGUAGAGAUGUGGAGGAACACCGAUGGCGAAGGCAGCCCCCUGGGCCGAUACUGACGCUCAUGCACGAAAGCGUGGGUAGCAAACAGG
This 423-nucleotide ribosomal RNA is filed under the name uncultured bacterium. RNAcentral describes it as "partial 16S ribosomal RNA". It matches the Rfam family "Bacterial small subunit ribosomal RNA", at positions 361 to 776 of the family's 1533-position model. The record is from RNAcentral.